AGUGAACGCUGGCGGUAGGCCUAACACAUGCAAGUCGAACGGCAGCACAGUAAGAGCUUGCUCUUACGGGUGGCGAGUGGCGGACGGGUGAGGAAUACAUCGGAAUCUACUUUUUCGUGGGGGAUAACGUAGGGAAACUUACGCUAAUACCGCAUACGACCUACGGGUGAAAGCAGGGGAUCUUCGGACCUUGCGCGAUUGAAUGAGCCGAUGUCGGAUUAGCUAGUUGGCGUGGUAAAGGCCCACCAAGGCGACGAUCCGUAGCUGGUCUGAGAGGAUGAUCAGCCACACUGGAACUGGGACACGGUCCAGACUCCUAAGGGAGGCAGCAGUGGGGAAUAUUGGACAAUGGGCGCAAGCCUGAUCCAGCCAUACCGCGUGGGUGAAGAAGGCCUUCGGGUUGUAAAGCCCUUUUGUUGGGAAAGAAAAGCAGCAGGUUAAUACCCCGCUGUUCUGACGGUACCCAAAGAAUAAGCACCGGCUAACUUCGUG
RNAcentral lists this ribosomal RNA (492 nucleotides) under uncultured bacterium. RNAcentral describes it as "partial 16S ribosomal RNA". It matches the Rfam family "Bacterial small subunit ribosomal RNA", at positions 29 to 507 of the family's 1533-position model. The record is from RNAcentral.